AUGCAGCCAACAUACCAGCCGCCAAUGAACGGCCAGCACGCGCCUCAGCCGCAGGCCUCUGGGGCUCCGCCGCCUCCUCUGCAGCAGCCCCCCCCGCCGCCGCAGUACUACCAGGCGCCGCCGCAGUACUACCAGCAGGGACCCCCGCCGGCUAUGUGGGGCCAUCCGCAGCAGCAUAUGCCUCCGCAGUACGCGCCCCCGCCGCCGCAGUACGCGCCUCAGCCUCCUCAGCAGUACGCGCCGCCGCCGCAGCAUUACGCGCCGCCGCCGCCGCAGUACGGAGCGCAGAUGGCUGGCGGGCCGCCUUCCGGAGGCGAGGAUAUCAGGUCGCUGUGGAUCGGAGAUCUCCAGUACUGGAUGGAUGAGACCUACCUCUACAACGCCUUUGCUCCUGUGGGGCCGCAGCAGGUCACCUCAGUGAAAAUCAUCCGCAACAAACAUACUGGGCAGCCCGAGGGUUAUGGUUUUAUUGAAUUUCAAUCUCGAGCUGCUGCGGAAUAUGCUCUGGGGACCUUUAAUGGGCAGAUGAUGCCUAAUGUUGAACAAGUUUUUAAGCUAAACUGGGCUUCUUGUAGUGCUGGUGACAAGCGGGGUGACGAUGGUUCUGAUCACACAAUAUUUGUUGGUGAUUUGGCUGCUGAUGUUACUGACGCCAUGUUGGAAGAGAUAUUCAAAGCCACCUACCCAUCAGUUAAAGGUGCUAAUGUUGUUACUGACAGGGCCACUGGUCGCUCCAAAGGAUAUGGUUUUGUACGCUUUGGAGAUCUAAAUGAGCAGACACGUGCUAUGACUGAGAUGAAUGGAGUGCCAUUGUCUACAAGACAAAUGAGGAUUGGGCCUGCAGCUAACAAGAAGAAUAUAGGUACUCAGCAGACAUAUUCAACUAAUGCAGGGUACCAGAGCUCUCAAGUAAAUGAGGCGGCGAAUGAUCCCAACAAUACUACAAUCUUUGUGGGCGGGUUAGAUUCCAAUAUAGAUGAGAACUAUCUAAGGCAAGUUUUUACUCCAUAUGGCGAAGUUGGUUAUGUGAAGAUUCCUGUAGGCAAGCGUUGUGGAUUUGUCCAAUUUACCAGCAGGGCGUGCGCUGAGCAGGCCAUCAGUGCGCUGAAUGGGUCUCAGAUUGGUAGUUCCAAUGUUCGCCUUUCAUGGGGCCGUAGCCAAAACAAACAGCCUCCCCAGCAGGAUGCAAACCAGGGUAAUGGCAACAGCUACUAUGGAUAUCAACAGGGUCCUGAUGCAUACUAUGGUGCACCCAAUGCGCAAGAUCCUAGCAUGCAAAACUAUGGAUACUCUGGUUAUGGCAGUUACGAGCAGCAACAGCAGCCAUCUCAGCAGCAGCAACCUCCACAGCAGCAGCCACCACAGCAGCAACAGCAGCAGCCCCCACAGCAGUGA
RNAcentral lists this ribosomal RNA (1395 nucleotides) under Triticum aestivum (bread wheat). Its description in RNAcentral is "partial small subunit ribosomal RNA". The record is from RNAcentral. Lineage: Eukaryota; Viridiplantae; Streptophyta; Magnoliopsida; Poales; Poaceae.